This is a non-coding RNA of Rhamnusium bicolor, 76 nucleotides long. Lineage: Eukaryota; Metazoa; Arthropoda; Insecta; Coleoptera; Cerambycidae. The record is from the annotation of a GenBank genome assembly.
UUCGUGAUUUCGUGAUCGAGCGGCAAGAUACUUGCCUCUCAUCCCGGAGUUCCGGGUUCUAUCCCCGGUCGCGGAA